Molecule: transfer RNA, 73 nt
Filed under: Stegodyphus mimosarum
Lineage: Eukaryota; Metazoa; Arthropoda; Arachnida; Araneae; Eresidae
Rfam family: tRNA
About the family: Transfer RNA (tRNA) molecules are approximately 80 nucleotides in length.
Source: Rfam by way of RNAcentral
GCCUUCGUGGUGUAGCGGUUAGCACGCUUGGCGCGGAUUCGAGAGAUCCGUGGUUCGAAUCCCGACUAGGGCA